Molecule: non-coding RNA, 96 nt
Filed under: Streptomyces sp.
Lineage: Bacteria; Bacillati; Actinomycetota; Actinomycetes; Kitasatosporales; Streptomycetaceae
Also listed under: 1 other name
Description: Glycine sequence
Rfam family: Glycine riboswitch aptamer
About the family: This family represents the bacterial glycine riboswitch. Glycine riboswitches usually consist of two metabolite-binding aptamers domains with similar structures in tandem.
Source: RNAcentral
UGACCCCGUGCGGGAGAGCUCUCCGGAUCGAUCCGGAGGCGCCGAAGGAGCAAAUCCUCCCCGGAAUCUCUCAGGCACACGUACCGCACGGACGAG